RNAcentral lists this ribosomal RNA (366 nucleotides) under uncultured archaeon. RNAcentral describes it as "bacterial SSU rRNA". It matches the Rfam family "Archaeal small subunit ribosomal RNA", at positions 1 to 328 of the family's 1478-position model. The record is from RNAcentral.
CAUUUUCCUUGUUUGUUGAUCCUGCCGGACCUGACUGCUAUCGGAUUGGUACUUUAAAAGGGCCCCAUUGCCNGAAAGNUCCCGUUUUGGNUUAAGCAAUACAAGGCGGACUGGCUCAGUAACACGUAGUUAACUUAACCUAUGGAUGGGAAUAACCUCGGGAAACUGAGAAUAAUACCCAAUAGACCACAGUGCCUGGAAUGGCCUGUGGUUGAAAUGAAUUUUNUAAAUCGCCGUAGGAUAGGACUGCGGCCUAUCAGCUUGUUGGUGAGGUAAUGGCCCACCAAGGCUAUAACAGGUACGGGCUCUNGAGAGGAAGGGGCCCGGAGAUGGGUACUGAGACACUGUGACCNNCAGGCCCUAUGG